Non-coding RNA from Macaca mulatta (Rhesus monkey), 207 nucleotides. The record is from Rfam. NCBI's taxonomy places the organism in Eukaryota, Metazoa, Chordata, Mammalia, Primates, Cercopithecidae.
AUCCCUUCUAGGUCUUUUGGUUAAGACCAAGUGUAGGAUCUGUUUUUAUCAGUUUAAUAUCUGGUAUGUCCUUUAUCCCAGGACAAUAUAUGAAGUGGAUUUUUGGAGCAGGGAGAUGGUUGAAAAUAAUACACCAUGCUUAACUUUGACCAUUUGCUCCUGCUAAUCAGAUGUUCUGCAUAAAACUGGCAAUUGGGUAAUGAUUUU